CAUUUAUUGAUGAGAUCACACAGCGUGUGACACAAGACGUUGAGUCUAGGUUCACUACGACAAUCAAGAACCUCACGGCACGUGUUUUGUUCUUAGAGUCACAGGGUGUGGCUGGGAGUAUGGGCUUGAGAGAGGUGUCAGAUGCAUCUAGUGGGCAACAAGCUUCAAAAAAAAAUGAAUAGGAAGUUCCUUAGCUUUCAGGUUGAUAACUUGGAAUUUCUGAGGGAAAUGAGGAUCAACCCAAUAAAGGUGUUAUGCCAGUUCAUUGAUAGAGUGGAGAAACACCCGAGCAAGAAAAUUGAUGAGAAGAUUGGCCAGUUCUGGAUUGUAUUUUUUUCAUAAAAGAAUUUUUUCCAAGUUUUUAGUUGUAAUAACUUUUACAUGUAGCUCAAAAUUUGAG
Non-coding RNA from Camellia sinensis, 400 nucleotides. The record is from RefSeq and is a predicted model, not a curated record. Lineage: Eukaryota; Viridiplantae; Streptophyta; Magnoliopsida; Ericales; Theaceae.